This 465-nucleotide ribosomal RNA is filed under the name uncultured bacterium. RNAcentral's name for it is "partial 16S ribosomal RNA". It matches the Rfam family "Bacterial small subunit ribosomal RNA", at positions 338 to 795 of the family's 1533-position model. The record is from RNAcentral.
CCUACGGGAGGCAGCAGUGGGGAAUAUUGCGCAAUGGGCGAAAGCCUGACGCAGCGACGCCGCGUGAGGGAUGAAGGUCUUCGGAUCGUAAACCUCUGUCAGCAGGGAAGAACGGUCACUGUGCUAAUCAGCAGUGACUUGACGGUACCUGAAAAGGAAGCACCGGCGAACACCGUGCCAGCAGCGGCGGUAAUACGCAGGGUGCGAGCGUUAAUCGGAAUUACGGGGCGUAAAGCGCUCGUAGGCGGUUUGUCAAGUCAAGGGUGAAAUCCCCGGGAUCAACGUGGGAACUGCCUUUGAAACUGGCAAACUGGAGUGUGUGAGAGGAUAGUGGAAUUCCAGGUGUAGGAGUGAAAUCCGUAGAUAUCUGGAGGAACAUCAGUGGCGAAGGCGACUAUCUGGCACAUAACUGACGCUGAGGAGCGAAAGCGUGGGUAGCAAACAGGAUUAGAUACCCUAGUAGUC